AAUGAACGCUGGCGGCGUGCUUAACACAUGCAAGUCGUGCGCGAAGGUGGCUUCGGCUGCCGGAGAGCGGCGAACGGGUGAGUAACACGUGGGCAAUCUGCCUGGGGGUGUGGGAUAACCUGGGGAAACUCGGGCUAAUACCGCAUACGUUGCCGGGACCUUGGUCCUGUCAAGAAAGCUGGCCUCUGUUUACAAGCUAGCGCUCCCAGAGGAGCCCGCGGCUGAUUAGCUAGUUGGUGAGGUAACGGCCCACCAAGGCGACGAUCAGUAGCCGGCCUGAGAGGGUGAUCGGCCACACUGGAACUGAGACACGGUCCAGACUCCUCCGGGAGGCAGCAGUGGGGAAUCUUGCGCAAUGGG
This 360-nucleotide ribosomal RNA is filed under the name uncultured bacterium. RNAcentral's name for it is "bacterial SSU rRNA". It matches the Rfam family "Bacterial small subunit ribosomal RNA", at positions 28 to 375 of the family's 1533-position model. The record is from RNAcentral.